Molecule: ribosomal RNA, 1627 nt
Filed under: Achromobacter denitrificans
Lineage: Bacteria; Pseudomonadati; Pseudomonadota; Betaproteobacteria; Burkholderiales; Alcaligenaceae
Description: partial 16S ribosomal RNA
Rfam family: Bacterial small subunit ribosomal RNA
Source: RNAcentral
UUUCCACGUGUCUUCUCAUAGCGGUCCGAUCGUUUUGCCGGUUCUGCCAGCUUGUUUAUUCAGACAGGCGGGAGCCGCUUUCUGAGCCAUGAUCGACUCUAGGGAGGCUUCUCUACGGCGUAGCUAAUACCGCAUACGCCCUACGGGGGAAAGCAGGGGAUCGCAAGACCUUGCACUAUUGGAGCGGCCGAUAUCGGAUUAGCUAGUUGGUGGGGUAACGGCUCACCAAGGCGACGAUCCGUAGCUGGUUUGAGAGGACGACCAGCCACACUGGGACUGAGACACGGCCCAGACUCCUACGGGAGGCAGCAGUGGGGAAUUUUGGACAAUGGGGGAAACCCUGAUCCAGCCAUCCCGCGUGUGCGAUGAAGGCCUUCGGGUUGUAAAGCACUUUUGGCAGGAAAGAAACGUCGCGGGUUAAUACCCCGGGGAACUGACGGUACCUGCAGAAUAAGCACCGGCUAACUACGUGCCAGCAGCCGCGGUAAUACGUAGGGUGCAAGCGUUAAUCUGGAAUUACUGGGCGUAAAGCGUGCGCGGGCGGAUUCGGAAAGAAAUGAUGUGAAAUCCCAGAGCUUAACUUUGGAACUGUCAUUUUUAACUACCGGAGCUAGAGUGUGUCAGAGGGAGGUGGCAAUUCCGCGAUAGUUAGCAGUUGAAAUGCGUAGAUAUGCGGAAGGAACACCGAAUGGCGAGAGGCAGCCUCCUGGGAUAACCACUGUACUGCUUCAUGCCACGAAAGCGUGGAGGAGCAAACAGGAUUGAGAAUACCCUGGUAGUCCAGGCCCUAAACGAUGUCAACUAGACAUGUUGGGCGUCGUAGCAGUGAAAUGCGUAGAUUAUGCGGAGGAACACCGAUGGCGAAGGCAGCCUCCUGGGAUAACACUGACGCUCCAUGCACGAAAGCGUGGGGAGCAAACAGGAUUAGAUAGCCCUGGUAGUCCACGCCCCUAAACGAUGUCAAUCUAGCUGUUGGGGCCUUCCGGGCCUUGGUAGACGCAGCUAACGCGUGAAGUUGACCGCCUGGGGAGUACGGUCGCAAGAUUAAAACUCAAAGGAAUUGACGGGGACCCCGCACAAGCGGUGGAUGAUGUGGAUUAAUUCGAUGCAACGCGAAAAACCUUACCUACCCUUGACAUGUCUGGAAUCCUGAAGAGAUUUAGGAGUGCUCGCAAGAGAACCGGAACACAGGUGCUGCAUGGCUGUCGUCAGCUCGUGUCGUGAGAUGUUGGGUUAAGUCCCGCAACGAGCGCAACCCUUGUCAUUAGUUGCUACGAAAGGGCACUCUAAUGAGACUGCCGGUGACAAACCGGAGGAAGGUGGGGAUGACGUCAAGUCCUCAUGGCCCUUAUGGGUAGGGCUUCACACGUCAUACAAUGGUCGGGACAGAGGGUCGCCAACCCGCGAGGGGGAGCCAAUCCCAGAAACCCGAUCGUAGUCCGGAUCGCAGUCUGCAACUCGACUGCGUGAAGUCGGAAUCGCUAGUAAUCGCGGAUCAGCAUGUCGCGGUGAAUACGUUCCCGGGUCUUGUACACACCGCCCGUCACACCAUGGGAGUGGGUUUUACCAGAAGUAGUUAGCCUAACCGCAAGGAGGGCGAUUACCUUUGGGUGGACCCAAAGAACCG